GAUGAACGCUGGCGGCGUGCCUAAUACAUGCAAGUCGAGCGAACAGACGAGGAGCUUGCUCCUCUCACGUUAGCGGCGGACGGGUGAGUAACACGUGUAUAACCUACCUAUAAGACUGGUAUAACUUCGGGAAACCGGAUCUAAUACCGGAUAAUAUAUUGAACCGCGUGGUUCAAUAGUGAAAGUCGGUUUUGCUGUCACUUAUAGAUGCAUCCUCGCCGCUUUAGCGAGUUGGUAAGGUAACGGCUUAUCAAGGCAACGAUGCGUAGCCGACAUGAGAGGGUGGGCAGCCACACUGGAACUGAGACACGGUCCAGACGCAUACAGGAAGCAGCAGUAGGGAAUCUUCCGCAAUGGGCGAAAGCCUGACCGAGAAAGGCCGCGUGAGUGAUGAAGAACGUCGGAUCGUAAAACUCUGUUAUUAGGGAAGAACAAGUGUGUAACUAAGUAUGAGCGUCUUGAAGGUAAAUAAUCAGAAAGCCACGGGUAAAUACGGGC
Molecule: ribosomal RNA, 498 nt
Filed under: uncultured bacterium
Lineage: Bacteria
Description: partial 16S ribosomal RNA
Rfam family: Bacterial small subunit ribosomal RNA
Source: RNAcentral